AGGUUCGAAGGCGAUCAGAUACCGCCCUAGUUCUGACCGUAAACGAUGCCAACCAGCGACCCGCCAGUGGCACUCUGCCCUGACGGGGAGCUUCCCGGAAACGAAAGUCUUCCGGUUCCGGGGGAAGUAUGGUUGCAAAGCUGAAACUUAAAGGAAUUGACGGAAGGGCACCACCAGGAGUGGAGCCUGCGGCUUAAUUUGACUCAACACGGGAAAACUCACCCGGCCCGGACACCGUAAGGAUUGACAGAUUGAGAGCUCUUUCUUGAUUCGGUGGUUGGUGGUGCAUGGCCGUUCUUAGUUGGUGGAGCGAUUUGUCUGAUUUAUUCCGAUAACGAACGGGACUCUAACCUACUAACUAGUGGCUGCAUUCUACCGGUGCAGUUCACUUCUUAGAGGGAUAAGUGAUGUUCAGUCACAUGAAAAGGAGCAAUAACAGGUCUGUGAUGCCCUUAGAUGUUCGGGGCUGCACGCGCGCUACACUGAAAGAAUCAGCAUGCUUAAACCAUUGUCGAAAGACAUUGGUAAACCGGUCAAAAUCUUUCGUGAUCGGGAUCGGGAAUUGCAAUUAUUUCCCUUGAACGAGGAAUUCCCAGUAAGUGUGAGUCAUUAGCUCGCGCUGAUUACGUCCCUGCCCUUUGUCCACACCGCCCGUCGCUGCCCGGGACUGGAUCGUUUCGAGAAAGGCGGGGACUGCCGCUGUUGGGGUUUUCGGACCUUGGCAUGUGGUGGAAACCGCUCUGAUCGCAGUGAUCUGAACCGGGCAAAAGUCGUAACAAGGUUUCCGUAGGUGAACCUGCAGAAGGAUCA
RNAcentral lists this ribosomal RNA (810 nucleotides) under Camacolaimus environmental sample. RNAcentral's name for it is "bacterial SSU rRNA". It matches the Rfam family "Eukaryotic small subunit ribosomal RNA", at positions 994 to 1828 of the family's 1831-position model. Lineage: Eukaryota; Metazoa; Nematoda; Chromadorea; Plectida; Leptolaimidae. The record is from RNAcentral.